UACGGAGGGUGCGAGCGUUGUCCGGAAUCACUGGGCGUAAAGGGCGCGUAGGCGGACCUGCAAGUCGGGGGUGAAAGCCCGAGGCUCAACCUCGGAACUGCCUUCGAUACUGCGGGUCUCGAGUCCGGGAGAGGUGAGUGGAAUUCCUAGUGUAGAGGUGAAAUUCGUAGAUAUUAGGAAGAACACCAGUGGCGAAGGCGGCUCACUGGCCCGGUACUGACGCUGAGGCGCGAAAGCGUGGGGAGCAAACAGG
This 253-nucleotide ribosomal RNA is filed under the name uncultured bacterium. Its description in RNAcentral is "partial 16S ribosomal RNA". It matches the Rfam family "Bacterial small subunit ribosomal RNA", at positions 524 to 776 of the family's 1533-position model. The record is from RNAcentral.